CCUACGGGAGGCAGCAGUGGGGAAUAUUGCACAAUGGGGGAAACCCUGAUGCAGCGACGCCGCGUGAAGGAAGAAGUAUCUCGGUAUGUAAACCUCUAUCAGCAGGGAAGAAAAUGACGGUACCUGACUAAGAAGCCCCGGCUAACUACGUGCCAGCAGCCGCGGUAAUACGUAGGGGGCAAGCGUUAUCCGGAUUUACUGGGUGUAAAGGGAGCGUAGGCGGUUUAGCAAGUCAGAAGUGAAAGCCCGGGGCUCAACUCCGGGACUGCAUUUGAAACUGUUGAACUGGAGUGCAGGAGAGGUAAGUGGAAUUCCUAGUGUAGCGGUGAAAUGCGUAGAUAUUAGGAGGAACACCAGUGGCGAAGGCGGCUUACUGGACUGUAAAUGACGCUGAGGCUCGAAAGCGUGGGGAGCAAACAGGAUUAGAUACCCGUGUAGUC
This 440-nucleotide ribosomal RNA is filed under the name uncultured bacterium. RNAcentral's name for it is "partial 16S ribosomal RNA". It matches the Rfam family "Bacterial small subunit ribosomal RNA", at positions 338 to 795 of the family's 1533-position model. The record is from RNAcentral.